RNAcentral lists this transfer RNA (72 nucleotides) under Marmota marmota marmota (Alpine marmot). It matches the Rfam family "tRNA". From Rfam's summary of the family: Transfer RNA (tRNA) molecules are approximately 80 nucleotides in length. Their secondary structure includes four short double-helical elements and three loops (D, anti-codon, and T loops). Lineage: Eukaryota; Metazoa; Chordata; Mammalia; Rodentia; Sciuridae. The record is from Rfam by way of RNAcentral. RNAcentral also lists the same sequence under 1 other name.
UGGGGUAUGGCUCAGCGUUAGAGCGCUUGCCUAGCACAUGCAAGGCCCUGGGUUCGAUCCUCAGUACCACAU